This 137-nucleotide ribosomal RNA is filed under the name uncultured bacterium. Its description in RNAcentral is "partial 16S ribosomal RNA". It matches the Rfam family "Bacterial small subunit ribosomal RNA", at positions 355 to 509 of the family's 1533-position model. The record is from RNAcentral.
UGGGGAAUAUUGGACAAUGGGCGCAAGCCUGAUCCAGCCAUGCCGCGUGAGUGAUGAAGGCCUUAGGGUUGUAAAGCUCUUUCGCCGGUGAAGAUAAUGACGGUAACCGGAGAAGAAGCCCCGGCUAACUUCGUGCC